RNAcentral lists this long non-coding RNA (729 nucleotides) under Gallus gallus (chicken). RNAcentral's name for it is "lncRNA (ENSGALG00010000311.1)". Lineage: Eukaryota; Metazoa; Chordata; Aves; Galliformes; Phasianidae. The record is from RNAcentral.
AUGUCCCGGGGCUGGUGCAGGCCUGUCUGGCUGUGGCGUUAGGUUCGGGGACCGAUGUAGGCCUCUCGGGCUGUGGCUGUACCUUCAGGCCUCGGGGCCGGUAUAGGCCUCUUGGGCUGUGGCUUUAUAUUCAAAGCUGGUGCUGGCCUCUUGUGCCGUGGCUGUGGCUUUAGGCCCUUGGCCUGGUUCCAGCCUCUCUGGAUGUGGCUUUAGGCCCCGGGGCCAGUGCUGGCCUUUUGGGCUGUGGCUUUAGGCCCUGGGAUCAAUGGCAGCCUGUGUGGCUGUGGCUGUGGCCUCAGGCCUUGGGGCUGGUGCUGGUUUCUCAGACUGGGGCUGGGGCUUUAGGCCCUGGGGCCGGUGUAGGCCUCUCUGGCUGUGACUUCAGGCCCUGGGGCCGGUGCUGGCCUUGCUGGUUGGGGCUUCAGGUGCCGGCCUCUCUAAGUUUGGCUGUGGCUUUAAGCCCCUGCACUGUUUCAAGCCUUUCAAGCUGUGCCUUUAGUCCCCAGGGCCUUUUUUGGCCUGCCUGGCUGUGGCUUUGGCUUUAAGCCCCAUGGCCGGCGUCAGCCUCUCAGGCUGUGGCUUUAGGGCCUGGGCUCAGUGCUGGCCUCUUUUUUUGUGGCUUUAGACCCCAGAGCUGGUGCCAGUCUCUCAGGCUGUGCCUGUGGCUUCAGGCCCCAGGGUCCGUGCUGGUUUGUCUGGCUGUGGCUGUGGCUUUAGGCCCAAAGCUGG